UGGCUGAUUGACCUAAUGGCA
RNAcentral lists this microRNA (21 nucleotides) under Oryza sativa (Asian cultivated rice). RNAcentral describes it as "osa-miR6247". The record is from miRBase by way of RNAcentral. Lineage: Eukaryota; Viridiplantae; Streptophyta; Magnoliopsida; Poales; Poaceae.